GAGUUUGAUCCUGGCUCAGAACGUACGCUGGCGGCACGCCUAACACAUGCAAGUCGAACGAAGUAGCAAUACUUAGUGGCAGACGGGUGAGUAACAUGUAGGUAUCUGCCCUUUGGCCUGGAAUAACACGAGGAAACUUGUGCUAAUACCGGAUAAGUCUUUACAGAGAAAGCUUUAUGCACCAUUGGAUGAGCCUGCACUUGAUUAGUUUGUUGGUGGGGUAAUGGCCUACCAAGACUGUGAUCAAUAGCUGAUUUGAGAGGACGAUCAGCCACAUUGGGACUGAGACACGGCCCAAACUCCUACGGGAGGCAGCAGUGGGGAAUCUUGCACAAUGGAGGAAACUCUGAUGCAGCGAUGCCGCGUGAGUGAAGAAGGCCCUUGGGUUGUAAAGCUCUUUCGUCGGGGAAGAAAAUGACUGUACCCGAAUAAGAAGGUCCGGCUAACUUCGUGCCAGCAGCCGCGGUAAUACGAAGGGACCUAGCGUAGUUCGGAAUUACUGGGCUUAAAGAGUUCGUAGGUGGUUGAAAUAGUUGGUGGUGAAAUCCCAGAGCUUAACUCUGGAACUGCCAUCAAAACUUUUCAGCUAGAGUAUGAUAGAGGAAAGCAGAAUUUCUAGUGUAGAGGUGAAAUUCGUAGAUAUUAGAAAGAAUACCAAUUGCGAAGGCAGCUUUCUGGAUCAUUACUGACACUGGGGAACGAAAGCAUGGGUAGCGAAGAGGAUUAGAUACCCUCGUAGUCCAUGCCGUAAACGAUGUGUGUUAGACGUUGGAAAUUUAUUUUCAGUGUCGCAGGAAACCGAUAAACACACCGCCUGGGGAGUACGACCGCAAGGUUAAAACUCAAUGAAUUGACGGGGACCCG
This 864-nucleotide ribosomal RNA is filed under the name uncultured bacterium. RNAcentral describes it as "bacterial SSU rRNA". It matches the Rfam family "Bacterial small subunit ribosomal RNA", at positions 9 to 923 of the family's 1533-position model. The record is from RNAcentral.